This 993-nucleotide ribosomal RNA is filed under the name Streptococcus pneumoniae B1598. RNAcentral's name for it is "bacterial LSU rRNA". It matches the Rfam family "Bacterial large subunit ribosomal RNA", at positions 1 to 990 of the family's 2925-position model. The record is from RNAcentral. Lineage: Bacteria; Bacillati; Bacillota; Bacilli; Lactobacillales; Streptococcaceae.
UAAGGUUAAGUUAAUAAGGGCGCACGGUGGAUGCCUUGGCACUAGGAGCCGACGAAGGACGUGACAAACGACGAUAUGGCCUUGGGUAGCUGUAAGUAAGCGAUGAUCCAGGGAUUUCCGAAUGGGGGAACCCAACAGGUAAUACCUGUUACCCACAUCUGUUAAGGAUGUGAGGAGGAAGACGCAGUGAACUGAAACAUCUAAGUAGCUGCAGGAAGAGAAAGCAAAAGCGAUUGCCUUAGUAGCGGCGAGCGAAACGGCAGGAGGGCAAACGCGAAGAGUUUUACUCUUCGGGUGUUGUAGGACUGCAAUGUGGACUCAAAGAUUAUAGAAGAAUGAUUUGGGAAGAUCAGCCAAAGAGAGUAAUAGCCUCGCUAUUUAAAAUAGUCUUUUGUACUUAGCAGUAUCCUGAGUACGGCGGGACACGUGAAAUCCCGUCGGAAUCUGGGAGGACCAUCUCCCAACCCUAAAUACUCCCUAGUGACCGAUAGUGAACCAGUACCGUGAGGGAAAGGUGAAAAGCACCCCGGGAGGGGAGUGAAAUAGAACCUGAAACCGUGUGCCUACAACAAGUUCGAGCCCGUUAAUGGGUGAGAGCGUGCCUUUUGUAGAAUGAACCGGCGAGUUACGUUAUGAUGCGAGGUUAAGUUGAAGAGACGGAGCCGUAGGGAAACCGAGUCUGAAUAGGGCGCCUUAGUAUCAUGACGUAGACCCGAAACCAUGUGACCUACCCAUGAGCAGGUUGAAGGUGCGGUAAGACGCACUGGAGGACCGAACCAGGGCACGUUGAAAAGUGCUUGGAUGACUUGUGGGUAGCGGAGAAAUUCCAAACGAACUUGGAGAUAGCUGGUUUUCUCUCCGAAAUAGCUUUAGGGCUAGCGUCGACAUUAGAGAUUCUUGGAGGUAGAGCACUGUUUGGGUGAGGGGUCCAUCCCGGAUUACCAAUCUCAGAUAAACUCCGAAUGCCAAUGAAUUAUGGUCGGCAGUCAGACU